GCGUCCGUAGCCGGCCCGGUAAGUCCUUCGUUAAAUCUGACGAUUCAAUCGUUAGACCGCGGAAGAUACUGCUGGGCUAGAGGAUGGGAGAGGUCGACGGUAGUCCUGGUGUAGGGGUGAAAUCCUAUAAUCCCAGGAGGACCACCAGUGGCGAAGGCGGUCGACUAGAACAUGCCUGACGGUGAUGGACGAAAGCUGGGGGAGCGAACCGGAUUAGACACCCGGGUAGUCCCAGCUGUAAACGAUGCGGGCUAGGUGUUGGAACAGCCACGAGCUGCUCCAGUGCCGCAGAAAAGUUGUUAAGCCCGCCGCCUGGGAAGUACGGCCGCAAGGCUGAAACUUAAAGGAAUUGGCGGGGGAGCACAAG
RNAcentral lists this ribosomal RNA (367 nucleotides) under uncultured crenarchaeote. RNAcentral's name for it is "bacterial SSU rRNA". It matches the Rfam family "Archaeal small subunit ribosomal RNA", at positions 515 to 882 of the family's 1478-position model. The record is from RNAcentral. Lineage: Archaea; Thermoproteati; Thermoproteota.